AGUAAGGUCAGCUAAUAAAGCUCUUGGGCCCAUACCCCAAAUAUGUUGGUUAAACUCCUUCCUUUACUA
Molecule: transfer RNA, 69 nt
Filed under: Liparis agassizii
Lineage: Eukaryota; Metazoa; Chordata; Actinopteri; Perciformes; Liparidae
Description: tRNA-Met
Rfam family: tRNA
About the family: Transfer RNA (tRNA) molecules are approximately 80 nucleotides in length.
Source: RNAcentral